CUACGGGUUGCACCAGUGAGGAAUAUUGCACAAUGGGGGGAACCCUGAUGCAGCAACGCCGCGUGGAGGAUGACGCAUUUCGGUGUGUAAACUCCUUUUAUAUGUCAAGAAAAUGACGGUAGCAUAUGAAUAAGCACCGGCUAACUCCGUGCCAGCAGCCGCGGUAAUACGGAGGGUGCAAGCGUUACUCGGAAUCACUGGGCGUAAAGGACGCGUAGGCGGGUUGGAAAGUCAGGUGUGAAAUCCUACAGCUUAACUAUAGAACUGCACUUGAAACUUCUAAUCUAGAGUAUGGGAGGGGGAGAUGGAAUUAGUGGUGUAGUGGUAAAAUCCGUAGAUAUCACUAGGAAUACCUAAAGCGAAGGCGAUCUCCUGGAACAUUACUGACGCUAAGGCGUGAAAGCGUGGGGAGCAAACAGGAUUAGAUACCCCCGUAGUC
RNAcentral lists this ribosomal RNA (439 nucleotides) under uncultured bacterium. Its description in RNAcentral is "partial 16S ribosomal RNA". It matches the Rfam family "Bacterial small subunit ribosomal RNA", at positions 339 to 795 of the family's 1533-position model. The record is from RNAcentral.